RNAcentral lists this ribosomal RNA (253 nucleotides) under uncultured bacterium. Its description in RNAcentral is "partial 16S ribosomal RNA". It matches the Rfam family "Bacterial small subunit ribosomal RNA", at positions 524 to 776 of the family's 1533-position model. The record is from RNAcentral.
UACGUAGGGUGCAAGCGUUGUCCGGAAUCAUUGGGCGUAAGGCGCGUGUAGGCGGUCCGGUAAGUCCGCUGUGAAAGUCGAGGGCUCAACCCUCGAAUGCCGGUGGAUACUGUCGGGCUUGAGUACGGGAGAGGCGAGUGGAAUUCCUGGUGUAGCGGUGAAAUGCGCAGAUAUCAGGAGGAACACCGAUUGCGAAGGCAGCUCGCUGGAACGUUACUGACGCUGAGACGCGAAAGCGUGGGGAGCAAACAGG